UACGGAGGGUGCAAGCAUUAAUCGGAAUUAUUGGGCGUAAAGGGCGCGUAGGCGGAUUUGUAAGUCAGAUGUGAAAUUCCAAGACUCAAUUUUGGAGCUGCAUUUGAAACUGCAAGUCUACAGAGGGUAGACGGAGAAAACGGAAUUCCACAUGUAGCGGUGAAAUGCGUGGAUAUGUGGAAGAACACCGGUGGCGAAAGCGGUUUUCUAGUUUAUACCUGACGCUGAGGCGCGAGAGCAAGGGGAGCAA
This 250-nucleotide ribosomal RNA is filed under the name uncultured bacterium. RNAcentral's name for it is "partial 16S ribosomal RNA". It matches the Rfam family "Bacterial small subunit ribosomal RNA", at positions 524 to 771 of the family's 1533-position model. The record is from RNAcentral.